Molecule: long non-coding RNA, 1528 nt
Organism: Mytilus trossulus (common blue mussel)
Lineage: Eukaryota; Metazoa; Mollusca; Bivalvia; Mytilida; Mytilidae
Exons: 3
Source: RefSeq, a predicted model, not a curated record
UCCAAACAAACGUUGAUUCAAACGUUAUGAACCUUCGUAGUUUUAUAUUAUAAGACUGACAGUCACACACACAAGUUUGCUUACUCAGUGUAUUGGGCCAGGGUGCUGAGUGAGGUGCUGGAACUUGAAAUGCAUGUAUCAUUAAGUUACAGUUCUGUUAGGAUUUGACUGCCUUUUUACAGGGACUUUCUAUUCUUAUUAUUAACAGUUUUAUUUAGUAUAGACUGUUCCUGGUUGAGAGUAAUUCUCUGCUCAGUCCAACUGGUGCAUAAUUAGCAUUUGAUUCACAUAUUUCGAAUUCGUAGCAGUAAAAACACAAAUUAAUGUAUUUAACAACUUUUUCUGAUUUCAGGAGCACAGUAAGUAUUAGUCGUAAAUAACUUAGAGAUUUAUGUGGAAGUUUCUCAGUAAGUUUACUCUGCUGCUCGAGCUCUGCUAAUCGAUGGUCCAGUAUUUCAAUUGUAUAUUCAUUCGUCAGGACCACGUCAUUUUUUUAUAUUCACGCAAAGCACAGUCGCGUGAAGAUUUGGUAAUUAUAGUGAACAUGGGGGAAAUAAAAUAUUUUUAGUAGCAUUAUUAUUAAUUCCUCAGGCGACUUUGUGCUCAAUUUUAAAAGAGGUUCUCCUGGCUUUGGAAAAUCUUAUCUGAUUCAGGAUCAAAUCAUCGGUUACACUCCCCUAUCACCAGUGAUUCCUUGUUUUAGCUGACACUCUGAAAAAGGUAUUGUGUGUAGGGCAAGAACAUUAAAGAUAAAGGGAAACUAUAAACAGAAGAAGUUUUCAACAAAAAAAGAUUUACAGAGGUCAACAAGUCUAAAUGGUCAGACAUCUUGAUUUGCAUGGUCAUCAUUCAACAGAUCAAUACUAAACAGAAAACUUAAAGUUGAUAUUUUUCUCCAUAGUGCGACUUUUUUUAUGAAUUUGAAAUGGAACAUGUUUUUUCCUACAUUUAUCAGAAAGAGGAAAUUUCAACAUAAUGACUAAACAAAAAGGUUGAGUCAUAACAUCACAAUCAUAGUCUAGAUGCACAAGAACUUGAUCACGGAAAUGCAACAAUGUACGGAAUUAUCAAUUGGAAGAAGGACUGAAUGAAAAAAAAAUUAGUUUGUUGUUGUCCAAAUAAACUUGCUUCUCAUUUGAAUUGCUCCAUCCAAUAAAGAUGUAUAGAGGAAGAUCUUUAAAGAACAGAUUGAAAAAAUGUUUUGUCUAAGAAUUGCAGGAAGAUUCUGGUGGAUGAAAUAGUUUUACUGUUUAUUGACUUAAUUCUUAUUUAGCAUGUAUAGUGGACUGAAUAAUUGUACAUAGCAAGCAAUGAAAAGAAAAAACUACAACUUUAACAGAAAAAGUGUUUGUAUUAUAAAUUUGCAAAUAUACCUAUAAUAUUAUGUACACCACAAAGGUAUAUAAUUCAAAUGGUUUGCAUAUUCAUGUAUUGCAAUGAAACUAUACAUGCUAUAACAAAGAAAAGUUCUAUUUUUCAAAAUAAAAUAAAAAGACAAAGAUUUCAAAACAACAUUUUUUUCAUUUAU